UUUUUCAGAUCUUGUUCUUUGUUGUCCUUUGGUAGAUGACGAAGAUGAAGAAUAAAAUGAGGACAGAGAGACGACGACAAAGACAGCGGCAGCAAUGAGGAAAAAGACGAUGACGACGCCAUAGCACCAUGAUUCCACAAAGCUCUCGGCGGAGCUCCGCUAACGUCUCCAUCACCUUUCACCCCCGGUGGACGAUCUGUCUUCUUCUGAUCUGGAAACUCGGCUCAACCAGAAAACAAUCGCUGACAUGCUCCUCCGCCUUGAUGAGCUCUUCAGAUUCGUAUGCUUUGCAAAUCUAUCAUUUACAUGUUGGAUCUCAAUAAAGAUCUUCAUUUUGUGCUGCUGAUUUGCUUGUGAUGCUAUGGAAAUCAUCAGGGAAACUAGGUAUUCUUGCUCCCCAUGUAAAUUUACUUAUUAGGACAUUCCCAUGUAGAUAUCACACCUUAUAUCUUGUGCUUUUAAAUGUUUUUGUUCUGGUUUUUUCUGUUAAAGCUUUUUGAUAUUAUGUGUAUAUGAAUGCUUUGAACAUUUGCAAUAUCAUAUUUGCAGUUUUUUUUAAAAAAAUUGUUUCCCGCA
Long non-coding RNA from Brassica oleracea var. oleracea, 576 nucleotides. RefSeq lists it as uncharacterized. Lineage: Eukaryota; Viridiplantae; Streptophyta; Magnoliopsida; Brassicales; Brassicaceae. The record is from RefSeq and is a predicted model, not a curated record. The transcript is spliced from 2 exons.